GGUCGCGUAGUGUAGCUGGCUUAACACGUCACCCUGUCACGGUGAAGAUCGCCGGUUCGAAUCCGGUCGCGACCGCCA
RNAcentral lists this transfer RNA (78 nucleotides) under Candidatus Curtissbacteria bacterium RIFCSPHIGHO2_01_FULL_41_44. Its description in RNAcentral is "tRNA-Asp". It matches the Rfam family "tRNA". From Rfam's summary of the family: Transfer RNA (tRNA) molecules are approximately 80 nucleotides in length. The record is from RNAcentral. RNAcentral also lists the same sequence under 5 other names. Lineage: Bacteria; Candidatus Curtissiibacteriota.